This 495-nucleotide ribosomal RNA is filed under the name uncultured bacterium. RNAcentral's name for it is "partial 16S ribosomal RNA". It matches the Rfam family "Bacterial small subunit ribosomal RNA", at positions 28 to 507 of the family's 1533-position model. The record is from RNAcentral.
GAUGAACGCUGGCGGCGUGCCUAAUACAUGCAAGUAGAACGCUGAAGGAGUAGCUUGCUCUUCUGGAUGAGUUGCGAACGGGUGAGUAACGCGUAGGUAACCUGCCUGGUAGCUGGGGAUAACUAUUGGAAACGAUAGCUAAUACCGCAUGACAACAGUUAUUGCAUGAUAACUGUUUAAAAGGGGCAACUGCUCCACUACCAGAUGGACCUGCGUUGUAUUAGCUAGUUGGUGAGGUAACGGCUCACCAAGGCGACGAUACAUAGCCGACCUGCGAGGGUGAGCAGCCACACUGGGACUGAGACACGGCACAGACGCAUACGGGAGGGAGCAGUAGGGAAUCGUCGGCAAUCGACGGAAGUCUGACCGAGCAACGCCGCGUGAGUGAAGAAGGUCUUCGGGUCGUAAAGCUCUGUUGUAAGAGAAGAACGAGUGUGAGAGUGGAAAGAUCACACUGUGACGGUAACUUACAAGAAAGGACCGGCUAACUACGUG